Molecule: unclassified non-coding RNA, 618 nt
Filed under: Lactarius sp. 1 CG-2012
Lineage: Eukaryota; Fungi; Basidiomycota; Agaricomycetes; Russulales; Russulaceae
Description: sequence contains ITS1, 5.8S rRNA gene, ITS2
Rfam family: 5.8S ribosomal RNA (bases 221-374)
Source: RNAcentral
UAUCGUAACAAAAGCGUAAGAGACGCUCCAAGGCUGUCGCCGACUCGAAAGGGUCGUGCACGCCGGAAGGGCGUCCUCUUACGUGAAAUCCACCUCACCCCUUUUGUGCACCACCGCGUGGGCUUCCUCCUCGAGGGGGCUCGCGUUUUUCACACAAACACCCUUUGUAAACGUCUUGUAGAAUGUCCUCAUUUUGUUUGCGUUGACGCGCGAUCAAUACAACUUUCAACAACGGAUCUCUUGGCUCUCGCAUCGAUGAAGAACGCAGCGAAAUGCGAUACGUAAUGUGAAUUGCAGAAUUCAGUGAAUCAUCGAAUCUUUGAACGCACCUUGCGCCCCUUGGUAUUCCGAGGGGCACACCCGUUUGAGUGUCGUGAAAAUCUCAACCUCCUUGGUUUCUUUUGAACGCCAAAGGAGGCUUGGACUUUGGAGGGCUUUGCUGGACUUGUAAAAGGGCCAGCUCCUCUCAAAUGAAUUAGCGAGGUCCCCUUUGCCGAUCCUCGACGUGUGAUAAGUUGCUUCCACGUCUCGAUCUUUGGCUCUGUCGCCUCUUGGGACCUGCUUCCAAUCGUCUCUCUACGAGACAACGUUCGAGCUUGCCUCGACCACGUACCCUUG